This 861-nucleotide ribosomal RNA is filed under the name uncultured archaeon. RNAcentral describes it as "bacterial SSU rRNA". It matches the Rfam family "Archaeal small subunit ribosomal RNA", at positions 53 to 922 of the family's 1478-position model. The record is from RNAcentral.
GCGAGUCGACACAGCAAUGUGUGGCAUACGGCUCAGUAACACGUAGUCAACAUGCCCAGGGGACGUGGAUAACCUCGGGAAACUGAGGAUAAACCGCGAUAGGUCACUACUUCUGGAAUGGGUAAUGACCCAAACCUAUAUGGCCCCUGGAUUGGACUGCGGCCGAUCAGGCUGUUGGUGAGGUAAUGGCCCACCAAACCUGUAACCGGUACGGGCUCUGAGAGGAGGAGCCCGGAGAUGGGCGCUGAGACAAGGGCCCAGGCCCUAUGGGGCGCAGCAGGCGCGAAACCUCUGCAAUAGGCGAAAGCUUGACAGGGUUACUCUGAGUGAUUUCCGUUAAGGAGAUCUUUUGGCACCUCUAAAAAUGGUGCAGAAUAAGGGGUGGGCAAGUCUGGUGUCAGCCGCCGCGGUAAUACCAGCACCCCGAGUGGUCGGGACGUUUAUUGGGCCUAAAGCAUCCGUAGCCGGUUCUACAAGUCUUCCGUUAAAUCCACCUGCUCGACAGAUGGGCUGCGGAAGAUACUAUGGAGCUAGGAGGCGGGAGAGGCAAGCGGUACUCGAUGGGUAGGGGUAAAAUCCGUUGAUCCAUUGAAGACCACCAGUGGCGAAGGCGGCUUGCCAGAACGCGCUCGACGGUGAGGGAUGAAAGCUGGGGGAGCAAACCGGAUUAGAUACCCGGGUAGUCCCAGCUGUAAACGAUGCAGACUCGGUGAUGAGUUGGCUUUAUGCCAACUCAGUGCCGCAGGGAAGCCGUUAAGUUUGCCGCCUGGGGAGUACGGUCGCAAGACUGAAACUUAAAGGAAUUGGCGGGGGAGCACCACAAGGGGUGAAGCCUGCGGUUCAAUUGGAGUCAACGCCGGG